GAAUACUUUUUCAUAAGAUUUUAUUUUACAGAAACAUUAGAAGAACUACGGAUAAAAUUAAAUUAUGAAAUUAUGGAGCAUUGGUUGUAUUAGUCCUCACUUGCCCCGGAAAGUAGCUGAACCCAUGGUCCUAAUGAAAGCAUGAAAGUGCCUUUUUUCCAUUGGGAAUGACGACAGUGUGCUCAAAAAAGGAUUCAUGACAAUGAACUGAUUGUCCCACAAAUCAGAAGGAAUUGCAAAGUAUUUUGGUGCUACUAAAACAACCGAUGCUUUAGAUGUCUUCAUCUUGCAACAUUAUGCAGUUAAUUUUGAACUUGCGAGGAGUAGACAACUGGAAAUUAAUUUGGAAACCACUGAAACACACAUUGUUUACAGUGGUAUCUCUCCAGGAUUUGGCUAGCUCAUCACACUUGUAGAUUUUAGGACCUACUUUCUGCAGUUAAUUAAGGUUAUACAAUAAAUGGGGGAGAAUUAAUAUUCAGUUUGGUUAUAUUGAAACAGCCAAUGUCUACAUGGGUGUGGUCUUUCGUGGAUUAUAUUCUUGAUUCGCUGUUUCGUCUUCGCCUUGUAACAUCAU
Long non-coding RNA from Agrilus planipennis (emerald ash borer), 577 nucleotides. RefSeq lists it as uncharacterized. NCBI's taxonomy places the organism in Eukaryota, Metazoa, Arthropoda, Insecta, Coleoptera, Buprestidae. The record is from RefSeq and is a predicted model, not a curated record. The transcript is spliced from 3 exons.